GUCGCCAUCGCACAAUGGAUAGUGCAAUCCCCUCCUAAGGGAUAGAUGCAGGUUCGAUUCCUGCUGGCGAUACCA
RNAcentral lists this transfer RNA (75 nucleotides) under Cognatundibacterium jejuense. RNAcentral describes it as "tRNA-Arg". It matches the Rfam family "tRNA". Rfam says of the family: Transfer RNA (tRNA) molecules are approximately 80 nucleotides in length. Their secondary structure includes four short double-helical elements and three loops (D, anti-codon, and T loops). RNAcentral also lists the same sequence under 6 other names. Lineage: Bacteria; Pseudomonadati; Pseudomonadota; Betaproteobacteria; Burkholderiales; Oxalobacteraceae. The record is from RNAcentral.